AGAAGCCAGAAGCCCGGUGUUUGUGAUGGCUGGUGAUAAAUAUUAUUCUUCACACCUCGUUUAUAACCUACAUACUAAAAAUUAGCAAGAAAUGGUGGAGAGGUCAUGAAGUGAGUCACUGUCGGCUGUUGUUUUUUCAACAUAUGAGCCACUACCUUUACAACACAGCCUGAUGAUUUCUUACUAGUUAACGGCUCUCAAUGGUCUCACAUUAAUGACAAUUCCUCAUAUUUUGAGAUUUAAUAAUCAGUCGGCUUGUGCAUUAAAAACCCGAAAUUAAAUGUGUAACGUUAGCAUUUGAGCGACAUAAUGCAUUCUCUGUGUUCAAUAUUGACAUUUAACGACUAAAACUGUACGUUAAAUGUGUAAUUUACCUAUGAAAACUGAAGGCUGUUCCAAUAAACGCGCCAUAAAAACACUUUGACAGCAAAUAUAAACAGGAACUGUUUUCAGAUUGAACGCACAUGAACGUAAAGCGUCAUUACCGUAAACAACACAAAUGUCAAUGUCACGCGUCAAAAAUGUCCUACCGUAAUAGUCUAAUGGGCAAUCAAUUUUUAUUUUUCUUCUCGACCGGUGUACAGCACAUUCUUUCAACUUAAAGCAGCUGAGAAGAUCAGCUGGAAUCUUGACGAGAUAACACUCAAGACUAAACAGAGGAAAGCUAUCUGUCUAAUCACAGCUGGUUCGGCUCGUAUGAUGCUGUCAUAGGCAGGCGGUGGAGUCUGGCCAGCAUGGAAACCUCUUAGAUUGCUGUUGCCCCAGAAGGAAUCUGGUCUGUUUCUGGCCCUGGGUGGAGUGAUCAUAGAACUGACGGUGCUGGUGGAUCCAGCUGCCCCAGGGCUGGUAGUGAGAGUGGGGGUCCUUGGCAGGCUGCCCUGGGCACCUUCCUCUGCCUCGCGAGCAAUCUGGCUACACUGGAGAAGAGGAUGAAAUGUUGAGGCCCGGAAGCUUGAUUUGCGACCUGUUGAGUCUCCAUAGUCUAUUGGCGAGGAUGAGGUCUGCCGGUGGAAUGAAAAGGCGGCGCUGGCCAGACUAUUAUUACUGCGCCGAUCGUAGCCACUGCUGUGCCGACUGUAACCCAGCCGAGAUCGAGGUGAGGAUGAACGGGUGGUGGAACGGGACUGGUGGACAGGUAUGCGGGUGAUGGUGGCCGAGGCCCGUCGACGGGACAUCCAGGUCAAUAUCAUAUAGACCAGAGCUCCAAGCAGAAGACCAACAACCAUAGAAAGAAAGAAGGCCAGAAUCACAUCCGCUGGAGGAAGAAAGGAAAAUGGGCGAGAGGAAUCACAGUCCAGAGUGAAGGAUCAUCUGGAAAUGACAUUUGGAAAGACUAAAUGGAAAAAGCUGCACACUGGCGGAGUUGUUUUUUUAUAGACUACAUUUGCCAAUAUAUUUUGCCGCAAGUUACUACUGUCUGCAUUUCUGUUAGAGCACAGAAAAAAGCUCAACUCUUUUUCUACACUCUUCAGAUUUUUUAAAGAGGCACAAAGUUAACAACAUAGCAUUGUAAGUAUUUUUAUGCAAAUGCCAGAGAAAACGCUUCAUAAAGUGUAUAUACAAACAGUAAAAUAUCUUACUUAAUCCGAAAGACUCCAGGAUCUUCAUAAUAGGAUGAGUGCUGUUAUCCGCCAUCACUCCCUCCAGAGAAACGGGGGAGACCAGAGAGGACACAGUCUCUCUCCUCCAACUCUUUCGUCCUCUCACUCCCGCUUCCAACUUUUUCUAGUGUUUCUGCCAGUGUGUGUCCAGCUCUCCUCUUCUAGAGACCCUCCUCUUUCUCUUUCUUUCUGUCUGUCUGUGUGUGUUGCUCUCUUUCAGCCCCAGA
This 1828-nucleotide long non-coding RNA is filed under the name Danio rerio (zebrafish). RNAcentral's name for it is "si:dkey-12h9.17 (ENSDARG00000097701.2)". Lineage: Eukaryota; Metazoa; Chordata; Actinopteri; Cypriniformes; Danionidae. The record is from RNAcentral.